GGGGAUGUUAUGGAUUCGACAGGUAUAGGUUGUGCUUAAAUUGCGUUUGGUAGGUUGCGACUACCAUAAAACGCUCAGUUAAAAUAUAACUGCAAAAAAUAAUACAAACUCUUACGCUUUAGCUGCUUAAUCGCAGUUGCGUAAAUCUGCCUAACAUUGUCUAUGUGUUAGAUACAGGUUUUAUAAUAAAUAGACUUACGUUUAUCACUCACAUCUGAAGUGAUAAAGAGAGGCUUAAUCAGAUUAGUUACUAAUGUUGGCCAAGCCAUAUGGCGUAAUUAGUAAUGAAAACUAAAUGAUAUGACUAUGAACGUAGAUAUUUAAGUGGCAAUAUGCUUGGACGCGGGUUCGAUCCCCGCCAUCUCCAUUG
This 370-nucleotide transfer-messenger RNA is filed under the name Lactobacillaceae. Its description in RNAcentral is "Ligilactobacillus sp024160875 Standard tmRNA". It matches the Rfam family "transfer-messenger RNA". From Rfam's summary of the family: Bacterial tmRNA, also known as 10Sa RNA or SsrA, is named for its dual tRNA and mRNA-like properties. Its role is to liberate the mRNA from a stalled ribosome. Lineage: Bacteria; Bacillati; Bacillota; Bacilli; Lactobacillales. RNAcentral also lists the same sequence under 1 other name. The record is from RNAcentral.